GACGAACGCUGGCGGCGUGCUUAACACAUGCAAGUCGAACGGAAAGGCCCUGCUUUUGUGGGGUGCUCGAGUGGCGAACGGGUGAGUAACACGUGAGUAACCUGCCCUUGACUUUGGGAUAACUUCAGGAAACUGGGGCUAAUACCGGAUAGGAGCUCCUGCUGCAUGGUGGGGGUUGGAAAGUUUCGGCGGUUGGGGAUGGACUCGCGGCUUAUCAGCUUGUUGGUGGGGUAGUGGCUUACCAAGGCUUUGACGGGUAGCCGGCCUGAGAGGGUGACCGGCCACAUUGGGACUGAGAUACGGCCCAGACUCCUACGGGAGGCAGCAGUGGGGACUAUUGCACAGUGGGCGGAAGCCUGAUGCAGCAACGCCGCGUGCGGGAUGACGGCCUUCGGGUUGUAAACCGCUUUCGCCUGUGACGAAGCGUGAGUGACGGUAAUGGGUAAAGAAGCACCGGCUAACUACGUG
Molecule: ribosomal RNA, 468 nt
Filed under: uncultured bacterium
Lineage: Bacteria
Description: partial 16S ribosomal RNA
Rfam family: Bacterial small subunit ribosomal RNA
Source: RNAcentral